RNAcentral lists this ribosomal RNA (301 nucleotides) under uncultured bacterium. RNAcentral describes it as "partial 16S ribosomal RNA". It matches the Rfam family "Bacterial small subunit ribosomal RNA", at positions 509 to 808 of the family's 1533-position model. The record is from RNAcentral.
CAGCCGCCGCGGGAAUACGUAGGUCCCGAGCGUUGUCCGGAUUUAUUGGGCGUAAAGGGAGCGCAGGCGGUUUAGUAAGUCUGAAGUUAAAGGCAUUGGCUCAACCAAUGUAUGCUUUGGAAACUGUUAGACUUGAGUGCAGAAGGGGAGAGUGGAAUUCCAUGUGUAGCGGUGAAAUGCGUAGAUAUAUGGAGGAACACCGGUGGCGAGAGCGGCCCUCUGGUCUGUCACUGACGCUGAGGCUCGAAAGCGUGGGUAGCGAACAGGAUUAGAUACCCCUGUAGUCCCUGUCUCUUAUACA